Molecule: ribosomal RNA, 374 nt
Filed under: uncultured bacterium
Lineage: Bacteria
Description: bacterial SSU rRNA
Rfam family: Bacterial small subunit ribosomal RNA
Source: RNAcentral
UACGUAGGGUGCGAGCGUUAAUCGGAAUUACUGGGCGUAAAGCGUGCGCAGGCGGUUAUAUAAGACAGAUGUGAAAUCCCCGGGCUCAACCUGGGAACUGCAUUAGUGACUGUAUAGCUGGAGUGCGGCAGAGGGGGAUGGAAUUCCGCGUGUAGCAGUGAAAUGCGUAGAUAUGCGGAGGAACACCGAUGGCGAAGGCAAUCCCCUGGGCCUGCACUGACGCUCAUGCACGAAAGCGUGGGGAGCAAACAGGAUUAGAUACCCUGGUAGUCCACGCCCUAAACGAUGUCAACUGGUUGUUGGGAAUUCACUUUCUCAGUAACGAAGCUAACGCGUGAAGUUGACCGCCUGGGGAGUACGGCCGCAAGGUUAAA